AGAGUUUGAUCAUGGCUCAGAUUGAACGCUGGCGGCAGGCCUAACACAUGCAAGUCGAGCGGUAGCACAGAGAGCUUGCUCUCGGGUGACGAGCGGCGGACGGGUGAGUAAUGUCUGGGAAACUGCCUGAUGGAGGGGGAUAACUACUGGAAACGGUAGCUAAUACCGCAUAACGUCGCAAGACCAAAGUGGGGGACCUUCGGGCCUCAUGCCAUCAGAUGUGCCCAGAUGGGAUUAGCUGGUAGGUGGGGUAACGGCUCACCUAGGCGACGAUCCCUAGCUGGUCUGAGAGGAUGACCAGCCACACUGGAACUGAGACAUGGUCCAGACUCCUACGGGAGGCAGCAGUGGGGAAUAUUGCACAAUGGGCGCAAGCCUGAUGCAGCCAUGCCGCGUGUGUGAAGAAGGCCUUCGGGUUGUAAAGACUUUCAGCGGGGAGGAAGGCGAUAAGGUUAAUAACCUUGUCGAUUGACGUUACCCGCAGAAGAAGCACCGGCUAACUCCGUGCCAGCAGCCGCGGUAAUACGGAGGGUGCAAGCGUUAAUCGGAAUUACUGGGCGUAAAGCGCACGCAGGCGGUCUGUCAAGUCGGAUGUGAAAUCCCCGGGCUCAACCUGGGAACUGCAUUCGAAACUGGCAGGCUAGAGUCUUGUAGAAGGGGGUAGAAUUCCAGGUGUAGCGGUGAAAUGCGUAGAGAUCUGGAGGAAUACCGGUGGCGAAGGCGGCCCCCUGGACAAAGACUGACGCUCAGGUGCGAAAGC
RNAcentral lists this ribosomal RNA (760 nucleotides) under uncultured bacterium. RNAcentral describes it as "bacterial SSU rRNA". It matches the Rfam family "Bacterial small subunit ribosomal RNA", at positions 8 to 760 of the family's 1533-position model. The record is from RNAcentral.